CAGUCGCCGCGGGAAUACGUAGGGGGCAAGCGUUAUCCGGAUUUACUGGGUGUAAAGGGAGCGUAGACGGAAUGGCAAGUCUGAAGUGAAAUGCCCGGGCUCAACCCGGGAACUGCUUUGGAAACUGUCGAUCUGGAGUGUUGGAGAGGUAAGUGGAAUUCCUGGUGUAGCGGUGAAAUGCGUAGAGAUCAGGAAGAACACCGGAGGCGAAGGCGGCUUACUGGACAAAGACUGACGUUGAGGCUCGAAAGCGUGGGAAGCAAACAGGAUUAGAUACCCCAGUAGUCCCUGUCUCUUAUAC
This 301-nucleotide ribosomal RNA is filed under the name uncultured bacterium. Its description in RNAcentral is "partial 16S ribosomal RNA". It matches the Rfam family "Bacterial small subunit ribosomal RNA", at positions 509 to 807 of the family's 1533-position model. The record is from RNAcentral.